UACGUAGGGUGCGAGCGUUAAUCGGAAUUACUGGGCGUAAAGCGUGCGCAGGCGGUUCGUUGUGUCCGUCGUGAAAGCCCCGGGCUUAACCUGGGAACUGCGAUGGAAACUAGCGAGCUGGAGUGUGUCAGAGGGGGGUAGAAUUCCACGUGUAGCAGUGAAAUGCGUAGAGAUGUGGAGGAAUACCGAUGGCGAAGGCAGCCCCCUGGGAUAACACUGACGCUCAUGCACGAAAGCGUGGGGAGCAAACAGG
RNAcentral lists this ribosomal RNA (253 nucleotides) under uncultured bacterium. Its description in RNAcentral is "partial 16S ribosomal RNA". It matches the Rfam family "Bacterial small subunit ribosomal RNA", at positions 524 to 776 of the family's 1533-position model. The record is from RNAcentral.